GGGCGAUUGGCUCAGCGGUAGAGCGCUUCCCUGACACGGAAGAGGUCACUGGUUCGAUCCCAGUAUCGCCCACCA
Molecule: transfer RNA, 75 nt
Filed under: Modestobacter roseus
Lineage: Bacteria; Bacillati; Actinomycetota; Actinomycetes; Geodermatophilales; Geodermatophilaceae
Also listed under: 9 other names
Description: tRNA-Val
Rfam family: tRNA
About the family: Transfer RNA (tRNA) molecules are approximately 80 nucleotides in length. Their secondary structure includes four short double-helical elements and three loops (D, anti-codon, and T loops).
Source: RNAcentral